This 489-nucleotide long non-coding RNA is filed under the name Mustela putorius furo (domestic ferret). Its description in RNAcentral is "lncRNA (ENSMPUG00000031030.1)". The record is from RNAcentral. Lineage: Eukaryota; Metazoa; Chordata; Mammalia; Carnivora; Mustelidae.
AAGUGAAUUCAAGCGUCAAUGCCUAGCAUAACAGACUGUGUGUGUGAUAGCUGUGAUUCUAAUUGUAGGAAUUGCAUCCAAAUGGAGAGGUUUCUUCUCACUGAGCAACCUAGGAGGGCUUCCUGCAGAAGGCAGCAGCCUGGUGCAAUGAGAAGUCUGGCUUGGGCUGAGAGCAGGAUCGGGCCGGCAGCUUGGUUCCUUGGCCUGUGUGCCCUGGAUGAGGAAACUGUAGCUCCGAGUGGACAACUGAUCCAUCCCGGGUCACACAGACAGAAUUCAGCCCCACACAGCCUGGCUCACGUGUCCAGGCGACGCCGCCUCUGUUGCCCACAGCUCCUGGACGCUUCCCUGCCCCUGCAGCCACCGCGCGGUGAGCCGUGAUGGGCAGGCAGCUGGCGAGCUUGGAGACGCCCCGCCCCCUCCCUUGGCAUCUCCAGCCUACGGGGCACUGACGGCCCCCUGGGCACGGACCCCCUCCUGCCAUCCCCA